This is a non-coding RNA of Anas platyrhynchos (mallard), 4639 nucleotides long. The record is from RefSeq and is a predicted model, not a curated record. Lineage: Eukaryota; Metazoa; Chordata; Aves; Anseriformes; Anatidae.
GCGGCCCCCGGGGAGGGCGGCCUCGAACCGACGCUCCCCGCCCCGUCACCGAGAGCCCCCCCCGUUGGCGAUAACCACCGCGGGCAGCCGCUCCGCCCUCCCGGAGGCACCGAGCCGCCGGGCUCUGCGUGUCCCCUCCCAGAGGCCGGCCCCGAGAGCGGCGCUCCGCGGGCUGCCCCCUCACGGCCCCGCCGGCCGCACACCCCGGCAGGAGGCGCCGCUGCGGCCGUUGGCCGUGGGGGUGGCCGUGAGGGCUGCUGGCGGCCGGGCCUCUCUGCCCGCCUCAGUGCGGGGGUCGGCGAGGGGAGAGCUGAUGAGACCAAAUCCAAAGCUCUAGUCCCUGUUCCCAUUUAUACGAUUAUAUAUAUGUGUGUAUAAAGGUGCUUCUUCAUCAUCAUGAGAAACCAACCCAUUCCGGCGUGCGAAAGGGGUUUUUCAUACGCAGGCAGGCAGCACGCCUGUGCGGGCUGUGAUGUUUCAGUCAGACCUGGGCACGUCGGGAAGGCAAAACCUGACCUCGCCAAGCGAAGAGGCUGGCCGGGUGACCCCUUAAGUCCCACGGAACGAUGCUGCGCAGAGAGAUCAGUGCUUGCCCAUCCAACGUUUGUGUUUGAAAAGAAGGACCGUCCUUUGAAGCGGCCGGCAGAGGAACCAGUUUGCAAAGCUGAAAAUGAUUUCAUCUGUUGUUCCAGAAAACGUGCAAGAUCAUCAUCUUUUACUUUUCAGAAGUCUAACUCACUGUCUAAUACAGAUACAAAACUUGCUCAGAAAAGAGGGAGAUCAUCUUCCUUUACCAUCCUUCCUACCUUCCCUCCCUCCCAGCCAGUAAAGAAGAACAACAUAUUCAUGACCUCAGCUCUCUUUCGAAGAAACACUGAAGUCAAAACUACAAAAGAAGGAUCCUUGUCACAAAGUCAAUUGCGGAAUGUUAUUAGACCUGCCAUUUUACAACCCCCACAAGCCCUGACCUGUCCUGAAAAUCCUGUAGUAUCUCUAAUGACUAAGCAAGAAGCACAUAUUCAGUUACCUAAAGACAGCUCUUAUUCCUUAUCUGAGAAUUCAGUAAGUUCCAAAACAGCAGCAAAGUCAUCUAUUACCAUGAAUCCUUCUAGCUCUAAAGCAACACGAACAGAAAACAGAAGUGUAUUAUGCAACAGCAAUUCUAGUUUUGUGUUUGGAGAAAACAUGGAUGAGAGAGUUUUGAGCCCUGAAAAGCAUCCCAAGCCAUGUAAUGAAGUUGAUUCAUGUAAAGGAGAAACAACAUCCCUAUACAUAGAAUCUUUUCAAGUUAGUCCACAAACAAAAACAGCUUUGUUAAGGAAUACAACACUAAUUGAAUCAACAUCUGCUUGUAUUUCCAAGACAGUGGAGAAAGUUCUAUUAGAUAAAGUUGAAGUUAUAACGGGAGAAGAAGCAGAACACAAUGUAUUACAGAUUAACUGCAAGCUCUUCAUAUUUAAUAAGCUUUCUUUAACCUGGAUUGAAAGAGGCAGAGGAUCUCUCAGGCUUAAUGACACUUCUAGCAAUAAAUGUGGAAUGUUGCAAUCAAGGCUAAUUAUGCGAAAUCAAGGCAGCUUGAGACUGAUUCUCAACACCAGACUCUGGGAUCAAAUGGUAAUAAAAAGAGCAAACAGAAAAAGUGUGUGCUUCACUGCAACAGACCAAGAGGACCACUCUGUUCAAGUAUUUCUAAUUCAGGCAAGCUCAAAAGAUGCUGGAUAUCUGUAUGCAGCAAUACAUCACCGCCUUGUGGCAUUGCGAAGCUUUGCUGAGCAAGAACCAGAAGCUAACCAAAUAGACAUAGAGUCAGAAAUAGCUUUUCAGCCAUUAAACUGUGACAGUGAUGAAGAUGAUGAAAAAAUAACUCAAGUGAGCAGCAGUGGAUCUGAAUCCUCAGCAAACAGAAUGGGGAAUGCCACUUAACCAUUGCAUACAAAAUAGCCUAGUGAGGCUAUUCAAGGAGAAUGGUCUCCUUGUAGGCAACAACAUGAGCCCUGUAGAUAUGGAGGACCUAGCACCCAGUAGCUGUUCUGCAAUGAAUCACUCUAGAUGGAACCGCAGGCAGCCCGUAGUCUGCUCAUGACAUCUACCACACAGCAACAACAGCACCACUGGGAACUGAUCUUCCCUAAAUGCCUAAGAUGUCUCAUCAGAACGCGGAGGAAUGAAAUCAGAUGAAUUUUGCUUUGUAAUUUUUAAGCACAGAUUAAUUUUAGAGACAGCUUAAGUUCAAUAAAUUGGGAAAGAACUUGAGAGGCACUUUUGAGGAUUCCAGUCAGCCUGCUUUGCACUGAGAUAAGAAUGACAUGAUGGCAUCCAGUAUUCAAGAAUUGUUAAAAAGGCUUCAGAUUUUAUAAUUAAAUAUACUUAGAUUCAUUAUUAAAAUAAGGAAUUUUAUAGAGAAUCAAUUUUUAUUCAUCAUAUUGAUGGAUAAAAACAUAUAACCAUCACAUAAUAAAAUACCUGAAAGAUUUUUUUUUGUCUUUUAUUUAAAAGAUACAUUUUGAAGACUUUAAAUUGGGCAUCACUGAAAACAUUUAUUUAAAAUUGUCUGGUAAUAUUCAGCAUCUUGUUUGUAAUUACAUUCAAGCAGAAUUAUGACUGGCAGUUUAGCAUGACAAAGGCCAACAGAAAUCAAAAUUCAUAACUAAGCAAGUGGGGUUUUUUUGUUUGUUUUAAAUAUGUGGAGUUGUAGACUGGUUAUAGAAUUUUACUAAAGGACAAAGAACCAAUAUCUGCUUUUACACCCAAGAGCACCAGGAGGACUGAACACGAAGAACAGUAAACACAAGUUCCCGGGGGCAUGUGAGCUUUAAAUCUAUAAGUGUAUCUGUUUACACUUACGAACACCUUUUUGCUUGCUCAGAACAAGCACUGUUAACAGUCCAUUUGAUAUACACAAAUAAAUGCCUGGACAGUAUAACUAGAGAUCUGCAUAAAAUCUUUUAUAUGCAUAUCUAAGAUUAUUUAUGCUUUAUUAUUAGCUGAAGAUAUCCCUAAACAGCAUCUUGUAUUGAGAUGAAUAUUUUACACAGUCAAAUUAUGUGCAAUAAUCCAAACAGUGCCAAAGACCCAAUCACUCUGUAAAAGUGAUUCCACAAACUGCUGCUCACUACCCAACCAUUCUCAAGAAGAGUUAGUAAAAUCAAUUCUCUGUAAAGCCACCUGUGAAUUAAGACUUUCCAGAUCCUUCGUAAGCCUAUGACAGUGCAGGCACCAUUUAAAGCCAUGUGCUUUCUAUUCUUUCUGUCAACAGAUAAAGAAGGUGUCUGUAAUAAUUCUGCUGCAACGCUGCCUUGUAUCUUGUUGGUUAACUAAUAUUAUUUCCUGGUCAUUCUCAGAGCUUAAAAAGAAGUUCUGAAAUAUCUGAAGUCCUUUUAAUUAAUAAAGCUGUAAUGAUUUCUCAGCCUUAAAAGCUGCAUCAUACCUGAAGACUCAAGUUUUAAUUUAGUCUUGCAGUCUGAACAUACAAGUAUGAAGUUGGAAGAAUUCCAGCUUCCUGAAUUCUCAUUGCCGUGUCAAGAUCAGCUUCUAGAUGAAGCUGAACUAGCAUCUGGAUUACGCUGAAUCUUAAAUAGCUGGCCAAAAUUAGCACUUGUCUGACAUCUGGAUGACAGAAAGCUUGAGUGGGACUGGACUUUUGCCUUCAGAAAAAGGAAAGUCCUUCACUACAGAACAUUUGUCUCAAAUAGUGAAGCACUGGAACUCUUCAACUCUUCAGUUUGCUGGUAACAAAAAUGUUUUUUCCAUGACUAGCCGUACAGUGUGUCCCUUUCUAUCAGACUCACUGCUGACUAUAACAAUAUUUCCAUCACUGACCUUCAUAUUUCAUUGCUGCAACUCAUACGCAGGAGCUAAGCUCCAUGUUAUAAAAACCAGCAGUUGUUAAAAACAGCAGUUCCAUUUAUUUAGCAACAGGUCACGGUGAGAACUUUGUCCUGGAGUUCAGCUGGUUGUGCACUGAAAGUAGAGAUUGAUUUCAAAAUCUGCCUGGGUAAUCAAAGUGUUCCAUGAAAUCGAGUGUAGGCACCAGAGCGCCAUGAUAUCCCACAACAUCUAAAUUCUACUACUGCUAUAAAAUUAUUGGGAAAUAAGGAGCGUUCCAGAGUAGGUGCAACAGAAUUUUUGCAGACAAAGGACUUUAAAACUUUAUAAGUUGCUCUCACAGUGUAAGGAACAAAGCUUACAAUCAGUCACAAAUAAACUCUCUUCUCAGCUGCCUUUUCUCAAGAUCUUAUUAUACGUACACCAGAAUGCACACACACACACGAUCACACACACACACACGAUCACACACACACACAUUUAAAAAUGAAGCUAUAUCUCCUACAAGCUGAGGAGGAAAAGAGAUAUUUAAAUAUUGUGAGGAGUUUGGAUACUGUGGUAAUAGAAGACAAAUGAAUAUAUGUGCAGACAUAUUUAUGGUAUGAAUUUUUACUCUUUAUAUCCUAAUCCAUUAUUUAUUCUGUUUUGUCUCAUUGCACUAAGUUCUAUUGUUUCCCAAGACUGAAGGUAUGCUAAUAUGUAAUACAUAAUCUUGGUUUUGUAAAUGUAAAGUAUGCCACUUUUUGACUGCUGGAGCAACGAUUUCUAUGUCUAGAUAAUAAACAAUUUUCUUACAGCUUUAUCUUCCAUCUAA